RNAcentral lists this microRNA precursor (58 nucleotides) under Populus trichocarpa (black cottonwood). RNAcentral describes it as "miR478r stem-loop (ptc-MIR478r)". Its record names the gene ptc-MIR478r. It matches the Rfam family "MIR478 microRNA precursor family", at positions 33 to 91 of the family's 91-position model. Lineage: Eukaryota; Viridiplantae; Streptophyta; Magnoliopsida; Malpighiales; Salicaceae. The record is from miRBase by way of RNAcentral.
AGUCUCCUAGUUUGAGGGACUGAUAUCAUUUUUAACGUGUCUCCUAUUUUUAGGGACC